AGAUACUAUUAGACUGAGACCGGGAGAGGUUAGAGGUACUCCCAGGGUAGAGGUGAAAUUCUGUAAUCCUGGGAGGACCGCCUGUUGCGAAGGCGUCUAACUGGAACGGUUCUGACGGUGAGGGACGAAAGUUAGGGGCGCGAACCGGAUUAGAUACCCGGGUAGUCCUAACUGUAAACGAUGCGGACUUGGUGUUGGGUGGCUUUGAGCUGCUUCAGUGCCGAAGGGAAGCUGUUAAGUCCGCCGCCUGGGAAGUACGGUCGCAAGACUGAAACUUAAGGAAUUGGCGGGGGAGCACCACAACGCGUGGAGCCUUGCGGUUUAAUUGGAUUCAACGCCGGACAUCUCACCAGAGGCGACAGCUGUAUGAUAGCCAGGUUGAUGACUUUGCUUGACUAGCUGAGGGGAGGUGCAUGG
Molecule: ribosomal RNA, 417 nt
Filed under: uncultured archaeon
Lineage: Archaea
Description: bacterial SSU rRNA
Rfam family: Archaeal small subunit ribosomal RNA
Source: RNAcentral